GAUGAACGCUGGCGGCGUGCCUAAUACAUGCAAGUCGAGCGAACGGACGAGAAGCUUGCUUCUCUGAUGUUAGCGGCGGACGGGUGAGUAACACGUGGAUAACCUACCUAUAAGACUGGGAUAACUUCGGGAAACCGGAGCUAAUCCCGGAUAAUAUUCUGAACCGUAUGGUUCAAAAGUGAAAGACGGUCUUGCUGUAACGUAUAGAUGGAUCUGGGCUGCAUUAGCUGGUUGGUAGGGUAACGGCUUACUAAGGCAAGUAUGCAUAGCCGACCUGAGGGGGGGAUAGGCCACACUGGAGGUGGACCGCGGUCCAUGCGACUACGAGAGGCACCAGUAGGGAACCGGCCGCAGUGGGGGGAAGCAUGACAGAGCGGCGCCGAGUCAGUUAUGACAGUCUUCGGUGCGUAAAGCUCUGUUAUGAGGGAUGAACAUAUGUGUAAGUAACUGUACACAUCUUGACGGUACCUAAUCAGAAAGCCACGGCUAACUACGUG
Molecule: ribosomal RNA, 497 nt
Filed under: uncultured bacterium
Lineage: Bacteria
Description: partial 16S ribosomal RNA
Rfam family: Bacterial small subunit ribosomal RNA
Source: RNAcentral